UUUCCCCAUUUGUUUGAUCAAGCCCCAGACUGGCGAGUGCUGCCGCAAGGUACAUUGCCAAUCAUUGUCAAUUGAUUAAAAUUUAAGGUGCGUUUGGGGUUGAGAUUGAGCAGUUAUAAUUUAAAAUAUACAACAUUAAAGUAUUUGUUAAAUACUAACUGUUAUAGUGUAGAAAUUGUGUUGAUGAAGAAAAAUAUAUUAUAUCUUUAAUAAUUUUAUCAAGAUUAUUAUUUAAAAAUUAUAUUUACUAUAUUUUUAAUAAUUAGGUCUCUAAAUUUAUAGUUGUAACUUAAAAGUUAUAAAACCUUAAUCCUAAAGAAGCUCUUAGUAAAUGAACAAAGCUUCACCAUGUGCCACAAGCAAGAUCCACAAACAAUUUGAAAAAUAUUAUUAUUUUGUCUGUUUUUCAUUUGUUCUCAAAUUAACUAAUUAUUAUUUAUUAACUUUGAGAGACAGUGUUAUUUUUUUUAAUUGUUUGAAUAAUGGUAGAAAAUUAAUGAAUGAAAUACACCACUCACUUGUUUCCUUCUCUAAUUUAUUGCUCACACAAUUUAAUAUUCGUUGUUUUAAAUAAUAGAAGAUUAAUUUGAUCCGUUUUACCUGAGUUACUUGAUCAUGAUCGGGGACCCGUUUGAUAGCAAUGAUAAAAAUUAUACUUUAUUUGUGAAAAAUAAAAAAAUUUAGGAACCUAAUAUUAUUGUUACUUGGCUUCAAUUUUGACGUGCGAAGGGCAAAACUGCAGGAUAAACUCAGGUACAUCAGGGGAAGGUGAAGGUGCGGAUUACCACACGAGGAGUGUCGUGCAUACGAUAACAAAGCGUGGUUGGCCGAGCUGUUGUCGCUCGUCUGUCGAUGGCGUUGCACGUUUCUUCUGAGCAAUUCCCACGCUCUUCCAGUCACAGGCUCCGGUCACAUGGAGUCAAGACUAUUUCCUAAUGGGACCACUUUGGUCAUCAGAUUGAUUGAUUUGACGUCGGUGCUCCUUAGUGUGGUUCUUUAAGCCAAACAAUCAAUCUUUGCUAACCAACGAAAUUGAUGCGGUUUAAGGUCUAAAUUGGCCGUCACAAAGAGAAAUUAGGAUUUUCUUGUGUGUACUUAAAGGUAGAUUUAGGCUAUUAUAUACUAGAACUCUGUUAGUAGGAGCUUUGGCAGAUUUUUCAUUUGUGAUGCGAGUAAAUUUAAUACUAGAUUUGAAAAAAAAAAAAAAAAAGAAUUUGAUUUAAUUUGGUGGUUAGAAAACAAAAUCAAAGUAACAUUUUAAUUUCCA
This 1267-nucleotide long non-coding RNA is filed under the name Citrus maxima (pomelo). RNAcentral's name for it is "long non-coding RNA (CMAX_LNC001620)". The record is from RNAcentral. Lineage: Eukaryota; Viridiplantae; Streptophyta; Magnoliopsida; Sapindales; Rutaceae.